AACGAACGCUGGCGGCAGGCUUAACACAUGCAAGUCGAGCGCCCCGCAAGGGGAGCGGCAGACGGGUGAGUAACGCGUGGGAACGUACCUUUUGGUUCGGAACAACUCCGGGAAACUGGAGCUAAUACCGGAUAAGCCCUAACGGGGAAAGAUUUAUCGCCGAAAGAUCGGCCCGCGUCUGAUUAGCUAGUUGGUGAGGUAACGGCUCACCAAGGCGACGAUCAGUAGCUGGUCUGAGAGGAUGAUCAGCCACACUGGGACUGAGACACGGCCCAGACUCCUACGGGAGGCAGCAGUGGGGAAUAUUGGACAAUGGGCGCAAGCCUGAUCCAGCCAUGCCGCGUGAGUGAUGAAGGUCUUAGGGUUGUAAAGCUCUUUUGUCCGGGAAGAUAAUGACUGUACCGGAAGAAUAAGCCCCGGCUAACUUCGUG
RNAcentral lists this ribosomal RNA (431 nucleotides) under uncultured bacterium. RNAcentral's name for it is "partial 16S ribosomal RNA". It matches the Rfam family "Bacterial small subunit ribosomal RNA", at positions 29 to 507 of the family's 1533-position model. The record is from RNAcentral.